UAUUCCCCACUGCUGCCUCCCGUAGGAGUCUGGGCCGUGUCUCAGUCCCAAUGUGGCCGUUCAACCUCUCAGUCCGGCUACUGAUCGUCGACUUGGUGAGCCGUUACCUCACCAACUAUCUAAUCAGACGCGAGGCCAUCUCUAAGCGAAAUACUUUGAUAGCAAAAUCAUGCGGUUUCGCUAUAUUAUGCGGUAUUACCAUCCGUUUCCAGAAGCUAUCCCGCUCUUAGAGGCAGGUUCCUCACGUGUUACUCACCCGUCCGCCACUAAGAAAAUUACCGAAGCAACUUUCUCCGUUCGACUUGCAUGUGUUAGGCGUGCCGCCAGCGUUCAUCCUGAGCCA
This 343-nucleotide ribosomal RNA is filed under the name uncultured rumen bacterium. Its description in RNAcentral is "partial 16S ribosomal RNA". The record is from RNAcentral.